This is an RNA transcript of Salvia splendens (bonfire salvia), 1646 nucleotides long. RefSeq lists it as uncharacterized. NCBI's taxonomy places the organism in Eukaryota, Viridiplantae, Streptophyta, Magnoliopsida, Lamiales, Lamiaceae. The record is from RefSeq and is a predicted model, not a curated record. The transcript has 4 exons.
CAUCAACCCUAAUUCCCGCCCCCCAUUUCAACGUCUCCUCCAAAUAUAGAUAUAGCCCUCUCUAUCAGACGGCGAAACUCACAAUGAUGGACGCUAUCAUCUGAGCUGACGAUUAAUCUAAUCAGUUCGUAUGUUUUUCGUAGAUUGGUUAUAUUUUCUUCUUAUCAAUUCAACUUUGCCCGCAUGGCAUCCCAACAACAGAGUGGUAAUGACACCGACGGCAGUCCAUUACCAGAGGGUAGCCCGGAUAUGCAUACCUACAGAGGGGUAAUAGCAGAUAGGUCUAGACGUUGCUGGACACAACGCGAGGAGUCGAUCCUUUUGUCAACCAUGAAGGAGUUGGCGGCAACCGGAUGGAGGUCGGAUAAUGGUUUUCGUGCAGGUUAUCUCACCCGUGCACUGGAGGCACUCAAACGUGAAUUUCCAAAAACUGAUAUUUGUGUUCACCCUCACAUCAAGUCGAAGAUCACUGCCUGGAAAAAGAAUUACUACUAUUCGCUGUUGCAAAUACUUGACCGUAGUUAUGUUGGUUUCAAUGCUGAUGGUGAUUACAAGAUAGAUAUCGAUGAUGAACAAUUGGCACAAGUUGUCCGGUAAUAUUGAUCACAAUGGGAAAGUUGAAUUAGGUGUAGGGGCAAUCAUGUUGACAUGUUUUCCCUUGUUUCGGGUGCCAUAACAUUGUUUAUAAGAAAACAUGUUAUUGUUUGCUUAGUCGACUACAAAAAUCUGGAAAUUGUCUUCCACGAUUGCUUUGUUGAUGUUAGAGGGUGUUGUGAUGUUGGCUGAGGAAAAGUGGUGGAGACCGAUGGAAUGAAUUGAGAGAUAACAAUGCCAAAUAUAUGAGGAACAAGUCUUAGCCAAUGUUCGGUGACUGGAAAGAGAUUUUCGGCAAGGACCGUGCGGAAGGGGCUAAGGUUAUGGACACAGGGGAUGCGGUUGGCAAAAUUUAUGGCUCUAACGUUGAUUUGAAUGAAAAUUCUGCAAAGGUCAUCUCCAAUGACUUUAGAGGAACUCUUCACUGACGAAGUUUUUCCUAACGGUGUUCUACCAGAGAUGGUAGAUGAGAGCAAUUCGGCACCUGUGAGAGUUACUCCGAGGGUGCCAAACAAAGUAACGAAGAAGAGGAAGGUUGAGGACAAGAUGGAUAAUGUCCUUACUCUGAUGACUCGCAUCCAUGAAGACACAAAUGAGUGCCUGAAGGACAUUUCUACCCGAAUUGGUUAUGAGUUCGAUCUUAGUACGAAGAGGACUGAGGUCAUCAAUCAACUGAAAGGUAUGCUCGGACUGUCCAUUAAACAACAAUUUUAUGUUGCAAAAAAGUUGGUGAAGGAGCCUGAGCUUAUGGAUCUGUUUAGGGGAUAGGAUGAAUUUGCUCUACCGACAUUUGUUAUCGAUCUUCUGGAGACCGAUGGAAUGAUUUGAUAGUGGUGGAGUCCAUGUCUUUGUGUGUAUUUUGUUAUACAACAUGGUUUAAACAAUGAUCCAAUCCAUGUAUCUAAAUAGUGGCAGUGAACUAUGUAGUAUGCCAACUGGUAUUUUUUUUGCGCAUGCAAUAUGUGAAGCAUGGACAAGUUGUGUAAUUUGGUUAAUUACCAUCACUCUAGAGUUUGUGAUACUACUGCAUAUCAACACCAAUUUAGUUACUA